This is a long non-coding RNA of Solanum dulcamara, 689 nucleotides long. RefSeq lists it as uncharacterized. NCBI's taxonomy places the organism in Eukaryota, Viridiplantae, Streptophyta, Magnoliopsida, Solanales, Solanaceae. The transcript is spliced from 3 exons. The record is from RefSeq and is a predicted model, not a curated record.
AAGCCCAAGACAAAUUUCUAAGAAAAAUCAAGUAUAAGACUUCCAAGUAAGGUUCUUCCAAUUCUUUUACAAUAUUCUUCUUCAAGAAAAUAAUUCAAGAAUCACAAGAAAGGAUUUCUUAAUCGUUCUUUUUCAAGUAAGAGCACUUCUUCAAGAUUCAUGGAGAAUUUAAGGAAUUCCUUAGAAAAAGAAAAUUCAAUAGAUCUAGAGCAAAAAACCACUAAAGCGCACCAACGAAGGAACUGGCACCUCACAAAAGCUGACAGAUGUCUCAUUGGCUAGAUUGGAGAAAACUAAAAUAGUGCUUGUUCUGCAAUUAGCGAAGCACAUUGAACAAUCAGUUGUUCGCUGAUCCUAGUGCAAAAGCUCCUAGAAGUACUGAAGGAUAAAGUGAGGCAGCGACUGGUGCCUCACAAUGGUGGAUCAAUGGUUCGCCAGUCCAGCGCAAGUCUCGAGCAGAAACUGAUGGACCAAAAAUAUAUUUAUGAAAAAGUAUUUCCUUUGGAAAGUUUCAAGGACCAAAAUAGGAAAUUGAGCAAUUAUGCACCAUUAUUCUCAUUAUUUUCAUUAUCCAAUUUUAUCAAAGAGUAGAGAGAAGAGAGUAGAAGAAGUUUCUAGAGUGAAAAAUAGGACCUUCAUCUUCAUACUCAAAAACUCUUAGCUUAAUAAAAAAAAACCUUCAAUAUUGU